UGAGGCUUAGAAGUUCUUAUUGUUCUGUUAAAAAAGAAGCCAUGUUUGAACACGAUGUUCAAACAAGUCGCCACUGAGCCAUGGAUGGCGAAUUGGCGACGGUGGCGUAUUGCUGUAAUGCGUGUGAUCAGAACAAUUAGAACUUCUUAGCAUC
Molecule: non-coding RNA, 154 nt
Filed under: pig gut metagenome
Source: RNAcentral